CAAAGCAUUUUUAAUCAGCAAAACUUAAAUAAAAGGAAAGGCUGUAUUAGGAAAUACACGGAAAAUAUCAUUAAGAAUUAGGAAUCUAGCUUGUGCAUUAAGCCAAACUGCUGCCAGUUUCAUAUCCUUUAACAAAUGAACCUCCACACCACAAAAAGAAGUCAUCAAAGCCACAACAGAAGGAUCAUUUACAGCCUUACAUUACCCAUCCUUUCAGCAACCAAUAUGUGACGUAAUCUUGUCAGUCUGAUCACAUCACAGAUACAGAGAUAAGAUUAUUCUGUAACUGGAAUUAAAUAUCUGAGCUGUUGAGGGGUUAUAUGAAACCCUCAUUUAUUUAUAUAAAAUAAAUUUUGAAAGGAAAAGGAAAAAAAAAAUCGGUAAUAAAGUUUACAUUGAACCGAAUGGAAAAAAGACAAGCUCUGCCUAAGCCUAUGCUCAUGAGAGAGGCCAGACAUGAAGUACAUAUACGUAUACACACAGACACGUAUUUAUAAUCCAUAACUUUUAAGGACGUAACGGAAAGGAAAGAGACGAUACCAGAAUCCCUCAGAUGUAGCAUGUCUUUAACACAUCCUGUUACAUGAAGGAAUUUCCUCUUUUUGUUCCAAAAAGGGAAAUGAAUGCCUCAUGGUUUUAACAUGUUAAAGAUCUGCUUUAGCAUCAGGAACAACACAGUGUCAGCAUUUUAAGAGCAUGAUCUUCAUUUUAAUUCUCCAAAGCAGAGCCCUUGGAUUUUUUUCCUUGUGCAGUUUGGAAAGAUGUUUGAUUAAGCUGCAAUCUGGCCUUUUUAACAAAAGCACUGUGCUGCCAGGUUUGAUUUCCAGUUACAACCAGCAGCCGCUCUCUGGGGAAGCGGCAGAGAGAGCAGCGGGAAGCGAGGAGGAAGCGCUUCGCUUCUGCGAGAAGCCAGGAUUGGCCUGAGCCAACAGUCCCUCGCCAGGCGAUUGCUCACUUGUCCACCAUCGGCUCGAGCUACUUCUGAAACCAGCCGGCCUCUGCAGAGCCUGACGCCGAUUUGCACUUUGGCACAACCACUUCCAAGCAAUAGCAGGUGGAGCGAAGCCUAGCUGAACUUUGCUCUGCUGCUCUGCGCAGGAAGGGGAAGCGCGCUGCGCAGAGGCGCUCCCCGCUAGCGAAACCACGAUGCCUGCCUGGGUGAACACCUACCCGCGCUGCUGCUGAUCCGCUGCCGCCGUUGACUUUUAUAACCCCACAACCUACCGCUUGCUGGUGCCAGCACUGGAGUGGAGCUGGAAUGGACUAAACCCAAAUCAUCAGCAAUAAGCUGUUGAAGCUUGAAAGAAAAAUUACCCAGCAUCACAAUCCUUCAUGUUGUGUUCAGAGUACCGGCGGCACCACAGGGACCACGUUUCUCUGGAUGUGAUCUGAAUUCCAGUCACCUUUUCAGGAUUCUGACCUUUUGGCGUGGCAGAAAAUGAAAGCUUCCUAGAAGAUACGUAUCCCAGCACAAGACAAGGAAGGCAGAGUUUUAAUAUUCCUCCCCAUGCAAGUAUUUUCCCCUAUUAAGUGCUUAAGACCUCUAUGACUAGGGAGAUUAAUUUUUGCAGCUGGACAUUUUCUUUAAGAAUGUAAUUUUCCACACAGUUUUCUCAUUUAGUUCUCUUCAUUCUAAUCCCAUAGCAUGCACUGUACCCAGGAGAGGUCUCUUCUGGCAAACUCUGAAAGUCUUUAAAAAAAAAAGAAAAAAAAGAAAAAAAAAAAAGCUGUGUGUGUGUGUGUGUGUGUGUGUGUGUGUGUGUGUGUGUGUGUGUGUGUGUGUGUGUGUGUGUGUGUGUGUGUGUGUGUGUGUGUGUGUGUGUGUCUCAAUAAGCAUUAUUUCAGAAAACCCUAUUACUAUGUAUUGCAAGCAAGUAAUUUAUCAGUAUUUCCAGACGAUCAACAUCAGGAGUCCACAACUAUAAAUUCAUUUGUCCAAGGAUCCAUUUUUAACAAAGCUACAUGAGGGAUGAAGUUGAACAGAGGCGCAAGUUCAUUAAAAAAAAUAAAAAUAAAAUGAAGAAAGAAAGAAAGAAAGUGAAAGCUGAAGUAUUGAGGUCACAAACAUUUAGGGUGCUAAGUGAGAGAUGGUUGUGACAGUUUGGAACAGAGAUUAAAAUCCGGAGAAUUUCAUCCACAUAGCAACACAGAACAAGAAUCUAACUUUAUUCUCAACCUCUGGUACGUGAUUGAGAAUCGAGGGAGUUAUACCCUUCUCGUCUUUCCCAUAGCGUCACCUGGGAAGAAAAUAAAGGGUAUUUCAUUGCAGACAGUCCCAGUUUGUACCAGAGGACAAUUUUUUUAAAUAAAAGCAUUGUAUUUAACCUACCAACAAGUUCUUAGUAGUCUAUGGUCAGGCACAGUAACAGGAGAGCUAUUUUUCCAAAUUCUGAUUGAAUUUUCUACUAUUAGGAUUUAGGCAUAAGGAAGACAAAAAACAGGAGAAGGAAACAGCCUCCUGAUCUUCCCUAUGCCCUCAUCACCUGGGGAGGCUCUUCCUCUCCUGAAAGUAGAACUUCUUCCACACUCUUUUUUUCCCCUGGCAAAAACAGGCUUCCAAAUAAAAACAUAAAAUUAUUCAGUUCUGUUAAAGUCAUUCCACUCCUCACUGGAAAAAUGAAGACAAGACAGAGGGGAAACAUCUGAAUUCAUCACAACCUCCAUGAGACAGAACUUUUUUGUAUUUCACAGUAGAUUUUCUUUACAGGCAAAGAGGAAAGCUAGAAUAUAUGUUCUUUUUCUUAAACAAGCUUAAUUUUUCAAGUGAUGGUGUUAGCCUUCUCACUCACUAAUUUAAGCUUCCCGCUUGUCAGAGAUAAACAUGCCUUUCAAGUUGUUUAUAUUAGCCUUCCUGUUUUAAUCUGUGAUUCCACACUUGCGGUACCCCACUGACUUCAGAAGGCUGUGUGUGAUGCAGAAACACUUGUACAGAAUGGGCUUUAUAUUUUUUCCAGCAAAUUCAACUGUAAUACUGAUUAAAACAUCUUGCAAAAUAA
Molecule: long non-coding RNA, 2996 nt
Organism: Dromaius novaehollandiae (emu)
Lineage: Eukaryota; Metazoa; Chordata; Aves; Casuariiformes; Dromaiidae
Exons: 2
Source: RefSeq, a predicted model, not a curated record